GACGAACGCUGGCGGCGUGCCUAAUACAUGCAAGUUGAGCGCUGAAGGUUGGUACUUGUACCAACUGGAUGAGCAGCGAACGGGUGAGUAACGCGUGGGGAAUCUGCCUUUGAGCGGGGGACAACAUUUGGAAACGAAUGCUAAUACCGCAUAAAAACUUUAAACACAAGUUGUAAGUUUGAAAGAUGCAAUUGCAUCACUCAAAGAUGAUCCCGCGUUGUAUUAGCUAGUUGGUGAGGUAAAGGCUCACCAAGGCGAUGAUACAUAGCCGACCUGAGAGGGUGAUCGGCCACAUUGGGACUGAGACACGGCCCAAACUCCUACGGGAGGCAGCAGUAGGGAAUCUUCGGCAAUGGCCGAAAGUCUGACCGAGCAACGCCGCGUGAGUGAAGAAGGUUUUCGGAUCGUAAAACUCUGUUGGUAGAGAAGAACGUUGGUGAGAGUGGAAAGCUCAUCAAGUGACGGUAACUACCCAGAAAGGGACGGCUAACUACGUG
Molecule: ribosomal RNA, 497 nt
Filed under: uncultured bacterium
Lineage: Bacteria
Description: partial 16S ribosomal RNA
Rfam family: Bacterial small subunit ribosomal RNA
Source: RNAcentral